This 117-nucleotide small RNA is filed under the name uncultured Levilactobacillus sp. RNAcentral's name for it is "Ribosomal protein L10 leader". It matches the Rfam family "Ribosomal protein L10 leader". Rfam says of the family: This family is a putative r-protein leader autoregulatory structure found in B. subtilis and other low-GC Gram-positive bacteria. It is located in the 5' untranslated regions of mRNAs encoding ribosomal proteins L10 and L12 (rplJ-rplL). A Rho-independent transcription terminator structure that is probably involved in regulation is included at the 3' end. Lineage: Bacteria; Bacillati; Bacillota; Bacilli; Lactobacillales; Lactobacillaceae. The record is from RNAcentral.
AUAUUAGUGAUCUACCUAAGACUCAGGUGACCUAUUGGUCUUAAACUGCCUGCCGAGGAAGAAGUUUAUGAUGAACUUUUGACUCUCUAUGUCUUGGUGGCAUAGGGAUUUUUUUAU